GACGAACGCUGGCGGCGUGCUUAACACAUGCAAGUCGAACGGAAAGGCCCUGCUUUUGUGGGGUGCUCGAGUGGCGAACGGGUGAGUAACACGUGAGUAACCUGCCCUUGACUUUGGGAUAACUUCAGGAAACUGGGGCUAAUACCGGAUAGGAGCUCCUGCUGCAUGGGGGGGGUUGGAAAGUUUCGGCGGUUGGGGAUGGACUCGCGGCUUAUCAGCUUGUUGGUGGGGUAGUGGCUUACCAAGGCUUUGACGGGUAGCCGGCCUGAGAGGGUGACCGGCCACAUUGGUACUGAGAUACGGACCAGACUCCUACGGGAGGCAGCAGUGGGGAAUAUUGCACAAUGGGCGGAAGCCUGAUGCAGCAACGCCGCGUGCGGGAUGACGGCCUUCGGGUUGUAAACCGCUUUCGCCUGUGACGAAGCGUGAGUGACGGUAAUGGGUAAAGAAGCACCGGCUAACUACGUG
This 468-nucleotide ribosomal RNA is filed under the name uncultured bacterium. Its description in RNAcentral is "partial 16S ribosomal RNA". It matches the Rfam family "Bacterial small subunit ribosomal RNA", at positions 28 to 507 of the family's 1533-position model. The record is from RNAcentral.